AAUGAGCAGCCCCCCAAUCUGGCUAGAGCUGUCACAAAGGAGCCACUUUUCCAAACCCUCCUCUCAAUGGAUCGCCAAAUGAAUCCCCCUUCUGCUCCGGGGAGAGGGUAACACCCCCUGUGCACCGGGAAGAGGCAGUGCAACACGCUCCGGCCAGAGAGCAGCCCCGGGGACGGCGGGCUGUAAUUGCCUCUUGGAACGUGCAGAGCAGCCGCCGUGACCCCAAAAAGUGACUCGGUGAUCGUGACCACUCCAAGGGGCAUCUCCGGCGUUAAAGGGACGAGGGAGGUGGGAGCCAGCGAGCCACAACGAUGGGAGUCCCAUCCCAUGAAACUCACACUGCAUUUACCCUGCCAUAACCGGGGUAAUUGGGGAGGGGGGAAACGAAUGUGAACGAAGUGACCCGGGGCUCGCUCUUCCCUUGGCUCCUCUGACGGCGUGCGUCCCGCCGGCGGAGGCACGGGGGAUCCCCGGGGUCCGGCGGCGAGGGAGCGCCCGGGCGGGUUCGUGGCAGGGACUCGUGGAGGGGACCCGUUUGCGGGGCUCCGCGGGUCCCGUCCCCGCCACCACCGCUGCCGGAGAGAGCCACUCGCUGCGCCCGGGUCCCGCACCCCUCUAUGAUUAUUACCAUCAUCACCAGCAACUUCUCCCUCUCUCUCCCUCUCUCUCUCUCCCUCUCUCUUUUUUCCUCCUUCAGCUUAGUAAAAAGUGAGUUUGGUGUGUGUCGUU
Molecule: long non-coding RNA, 729 nt
Organism: Corvus hawaiiensis (hawaiian crow)
Lineage: Eukaryota; Metazoa; Chordata; Aves; Passeriformes; Corvidae
Exons: 2
Source: RefSeq, a predicted model, not a curated record